UCAUCUCUACUUCCACUGCCCAUGUCAAACAAGUCUCUAGGGAUGUUACGGAGUACAACGUACCAACCCUCAUCAGUUGGGUCUUUUGAGUAAAAAACUUGUUUGACUUGAGAAGAAAAUACAUACGGCUCAUCAAUCAAUUGUUGUCCUGUGUGAAUCAAUCGAGCGAAGUUUACCAUUGUGAAACCAAAUUGAUCUUGCUUGAUUC
This 208-nucleotide long non-coding RNA is filed under the name Gossypium barbadense (sea-island cotton). Its description in RNAcentral is "long non-coding RNA (GBAR_LNC019735)". Lineage: Eukaryota; Viridiplantae; Streptophyta; Magnoliopsida; Malvales; Malvaceae. The record is from RNAcentral.